UUUUCGGUGGCGCAGUUGGUUAGCGCGCUUAUCUAUAGAAACUAAGAGGUCGCGGGUUCGAUCCCCGCUCGAGGCA
Paramuricea clavata is the source of this 76-nucleotide non-coding RNA. Lineage: Eukaryota; Metazoa; Cnidaria; Anthozoa; Malacalcyonacea; Plexauridae. The record is from the annotation of a GenBank genome assembly.